This 499-nucleotide ribosomal RNA is filed under the name uncultured bacterium. Its description in RNAcentral is "bacterial SSU rRNA". It matches the Rfam family "Bacterial small subunit ribosomal RNA", at positions 30 to 520 of the family's 1533-position model. The record is from RNAcentral.
AUUGAACGCUGGCGGCAUGCCUUACACAUGCAUGUCGAACGGCAGCACGGGAGCUUGCUCCUGGUGGCGAGUGGCGAACGGGUGAGUAAUACAUCGGAACGUACCCUGAAGUGGGGGAUAACGUAGCGAAAGUUACGCUAAUACCGCAUAUUCUGUGAGCAGGAAAGAGGGGGAUCGCAAGACCUCUUGCUUUAGGAGCGGCCGAUGUCGGAUUAGCUAGUUGGUGAGGUAAAGGCUCACCAAGGCGACGAUCUGUAGCGGGUCUGAGAGGAUGAUCCGCCACACUGGAACUGAGACACGGUCCAGACUCCUACGGGAGGCAGCAGUGGGGAAUUUUGGACAAUGGGGGGCAACCCUGAUCCAGCCAUGCCGCGUGAGUGAAGAAGGCCUUCGGUGUAAGCUCUUCGUCCGGAGAAAGUACGCAUGGGUUAAUACCCUGUGUGGAUGACGGUACCGGCGAUAAGAAGCACCGGCUAACUACGUAGCCAGCAGCCGACGG